Molecule: ribosomal RNA, 394 nt
Filed under: uncultured bacterium
Lineage: Bacteria
Description: partial 16S ribosomal RNA
Rfam family: Bacterial small subunit ribosomal RNA
Source: RNAcentral
AUACGUAGGGGACGAGCGUUGUCCGGAAUUACUGGGCGUAAAGGGCGCGCAGGCGGAUAUUUAAGUCAGCUGUAAAAGGCAUGAGCUCAACUCAUGUAUGCGGUUGAAACUGGGUAUCUAGAGUGCUGGAGAGGUAGGCGGAAUUCCCGGUGGAGCGGUGAAAUGCGUAGAUAUCGGGAAGAACACCAGUGGCGAAGGCGGCUUACUGGCCAGCAACUGACGCUGAGGCGCGAAAGCCAGGGGAGCGAACGGGAUUAGAUACCCCGGUAGUCCUGGCCGUAAACGAUGAAUGCUAGGUGUGGGUGUCGAGAGGCAUCCGUGCCGGAGUUAACGCGAUAAGCAUUCCGCCUGGGGAGUACGAUCGCAAGAUUGAAACUCAAAGGAAUUGACGGGG